Molecule: ribosomal RNA, 875 nt
Filed under: Salmonella enterica subsp. enterica serovar Paratyphi B
Lineage: Bacteria; Pseudomonadati; Pseudomonadota; Gammaproteobacteria; Enterobacterales; Enterobacteriaceae
Description: partial 23S ribosomal RNA
Rfam family: Bacterial large subunit ribosomal RNA
Source: RNAcentral
GGGUUGUGAGGUUAAGCGACUAAGCGUACACGGUGGAUGCCCUGGCAGUCAGAGGCGAUGAAGGGCGUGCUAAUCUGCGAUAAGCGCCGGUAAGGUGAUAUGAACCGUUAUAACCGGCGAUACCCGAAUGGGGAAACCCAGUGUGAUUCGUCACACUAUCAUUAACUGAAUCCAUAGGUUAAUGAGGCGAACCGGGGGAACUGAAACAUCUAAGUACCCCGAGGAAAAGAAAUCAACCGAGAUUCCCCCAGUAGCGGCGAGCGAACGGGGAGGAGCCCAGAGCCUGAAUCAGCAUGUGUGUUAGUGGAAGCGUCUGGAAAGGCGCGCGAUACAGGGUGACAGCCCCGUACACAAAAGCGCAUGUGCUGUGAGCUCGAUGAGUAGGGCGGGACACGUGGUAUCCUGUCUGAAUAUGGGGGGACCAUCCUCCAAGGCUAAAUACUCCUGACUGACCGAUAGUGAACCAGUACCGUGAGGGAAAGGCGAAAAGAACCCCGGCGAGGGGAGUGAAAAAGAACCUGAAACCGUGUACGUACAAGCAGUGGGAGCACAGGUUUACCUGUGUGACUGCGUACCUUUUGUAUAAUGGGUCAGCGACUUAUAUUCUGUAGCAAGGUUAACCGUAUAGGGGAGCCGGAGGGAAACCGAGUCUUAACCGGGCGUUAAGUUGCAGGGUAUAGACCCGAAACCCGGUGAUCUAGCCAUGGGCAGGUUGAAGGUUGGGUAACACUAACUGGAGGACCGAACCGACUAAUGUUGAAAAAUUAGCGGAUGACCUGUGGCUGGGGGUGAAAGGCCAAUCAAACCGGGAGAUAGCUGGUUCUCCCCGAAAGCUAUUUAGGUAGCGCCUCGUGAAUUCAUCUCCGGGGGUAGAG